AUUGAUGUGACUUUUAGUUAUAAGUAUUUUUGUAUUAGAUUAUGUGAAACCCCAAUUUAAGUUUAGUAUAGGGCCCUCAAAAUCUCGGGGACGGCCCUAACACUAUCUAGGUGUUAUGGAAGUUCGAACUUAAGACUACUGGUCUGCAAAUCAAUACCUUUUUUAAUAAGGCUAGAGGUUGUUGACAUGAGCCAAAACUUGAUUUUGUUCAUGUACUUGCAUAAGCUGCUC
RNAcentral lists this long non-coding RNA (231 nucleotides) under Prunus persica (peach). RNAcentral describes it as "long non-coding RNA (PPER_LNC003037)". The record is from RNAcentral. Lineage: Eukaryota; Viridiplantae; Streptophyta; Magnoliopsida; Rosales; Rosaceae.